Molecule: small nucleolar RNA, 69 nt
Organism: Brienomyrus brachyistius
Lineage: Eukaryota; Metazoa; Chordata; Actinopteri; Osteoglossiformes; Mormyridae
Product: small nucleolar RNA SNORD30
Exons: 1
Source: RefSeq, a predicted model, not a curated record
CGAAAUGAUGAUUCUCUUGGAAUCUCGUUCGUCUGAACCUUCUGCUGAGAAUUAAUUUUGCUGACCGUU